This is a long non-coding RNA of Gossypium arboreum, 1794 nucleotides long. RefSeq lists it as uncharacterized. The record is from RefSeq and is a predicted model, not a curated record. NCBI's taxonomy places the organism in Eukaryota, Viridiplantae, Streptophyta, Magnoliopsida, Malvales, Malvaceae. The transcript has 2 exons.
GUGACAUAUGACUCAUUCGACAUCAAAGGCGUUCGUAGCUUGGAGGCAAUGGUGCAGACUCAUCUCGCUAGUGGAUCACCCUAUGUUGAGUUAUAUAUACAAUUUUCAUCGCCAAAUGAUGCAUUUGCAGCUUCAACAUUUACUGCCGGUCGAGAGGAAUACACGACCCCUGCUCGACAUUCCGUUAGUGGAUGGCAAAACACAGAAGCGCCUGUGUUUAGUAGCAGUAUGGAAUACCCAACCCUUGCACGACACUCCGUUAGUGGAUGGGAUAUGCACCUCAGUGGUCGAUGUUUGAUGCUGGAAAUAUGUACUGAGGAAUGACAUCAACUUCUAGUGGUUGACAAUCCACAUCUGAUUGGAGAUAUUGUGAAACGUCCACAAUAAGGGAUGAUGUACUCCCUACGACGUCCACCGGCGAGGGGACCUCUUUCGUUGCAGAUGAUGGUGGGUCAGAUGAUGAGUCUGAUGUGGAUCCACCUCGAGAGCCUAGGCCUAAUGGUGCAGAAGUUGCAUUAUUUUCUGAACCGAAGCCUGUUCCAACCGUACCUGAAGAUGUUGAAGGGGGUUUAGAUGAAGAAGAAGAAGAUUCACGAUUCAGGGUGUACUCACCUUCAGCCUACAUGCAUGUUGAUCUAUCUCAAGAUGAUACGUUGGAGUUUCCAGAUCUACCACACAGAAGGCGUGAUCGUACAAGUUCCUCAAUGAAUUCGAGUGAAUUGGAAGUUGGUAAAGAGUUUUCCAAUAAAGAUAGUUUUCUUGGUGUAGUAAAACAAUAUAGCAUCAUGAACGGGGUUAACUACAAAGUGGUUAAAUCUAAAUCCGAUAAGUUUAAGGCCAAGUGUGCAGUGCAAGAUGGAACAUGUUCAUGGAAAAUCAUGGCCUCGUUGAGGAAAAAGACAGGCUUGUGAGAGAUAAAAAAGUACAAAGGUCCAUAUACAUGUGUUGCCGGUGUUUCACAAGAUCAUCCCAAGAUGGAUUCAGAUAUGUUAGCUACCUUAAUACCACCGACGGUGAAGGCGGAUCCCAGAACUUUAGUGUCGGUCUUAAUUGCCAAUAUUCAUGGCCAGUUGAGGUACAUACCCUCUUAUCGCAAGGCUUGGAUAGCUAAGCAGAAGGUGUUGGAAAAGAUGCAUGGUGGGUGGGACGCUUCAUAUAAUGAAGUGUGGCAGUGGUGCCAGGUGCUGGAGAGAUAUGUCCUAGGUUACGUAACAGACCUUGAAACAGAACCUACGUACUACAACGACCGAUUGCUCCAUGGAUGCCAAGUAUUUAAGCGCCUGUUCUGGAGCUUUAAGCAAUGCCGAGACGCAUUUCUAUAUUGCAAGCCAUUGGUACAAAUUGACGGUACCUUUAUGUACGGUAGAUAUACUCAUCAGCUAUUGUUAGCUGUGACACAGGAUGGCAGUGGGAGAAUCCUUCCAAUUGCGUUUGCAAUAACACCGGGGGAGUCACCUGAUGACUGAGAUUUCUUUCUUUCUAGGUUAAAGAGGCAUGUCUGCCCCUAACCUAAUAUCUGCAUCAUAUCGGAUUAGGGCACAGGAAUAUUAUUCGCAAUUGAGCGACAGGGAAGCCUGUGGCAUCGCACACACCAUCGGUAUUGCCUAAGGCAUGUUGCGUCCAACUAUUAUGGGUAAUAUCGAUCUAUAAGUGAACAACGGCAAAUGACCAACAUGGGUAUUUAAUCUCUACUAAUAUAAUUUCUUUUUAUUCUGAGUGGAAAAGUGAUAUGUAAUUUUUGCUAUCAUCUUAUAUUGGCAGGGUAUUAGAUAAAUAAGGAUCGUUUUCAUGAAA